AGAAUCAACACUGGCGGCGUGCCUCAGACAUGCAAGUCGAACGAUUAAACUUUCCUUCGGGAAAGAUAUAAAGUGGCGCACGGGUGAGUAACACGUAAGUAAUCUACCUUUGAGUGGGGAAUAACCCGGGGAAACCCGAGCUAAUACCGCAUAAUGCAGCGGCACCGCAAGGUGACAGUUGUUAAAGGAGCAAUCCGCUUAAAGAGGAGCUUGCGGCAGAUUAGCUAGUUGGUAAGGUAAUGGCUUACCAAGGCUACGAUCUGUAACCGGUCUAAGAGGACGGUCGGUCACACUGACACUGAAUAACGGGCCAGACUCCUACGGGAGGCAGCAGUCGGGAAUUUGGGCAAGUGGGCGAAAGCCUGACCAGCAACGCCGCGUGAAGGAUGAAGUAGUUUCGGUAUAGUAAACUUACGAAAGAAGUAGGAAAGAAUACAAUAGAACGGUACCAUUUAUAAGGUCCGACUAACUACGUGCCAGCACGCCGAC
Molecule: ribosomal RNA, 489 nt
Filed under: uncultured soil bacterium
Lineage: Bacteria
Description: bacterial SSU rRNA
Rfam family: Bacterial small subunit ribosomal RNA
Source: RNAcentral